Molecule: long non-coding RNA, 258 nt
Organism: Vespa crabro (European hornet)
Lineage: Eukaryota; Metazoa; Arthropoda; Insecta; Hymenoptera; Vespidae
Exons: 3
Source: RefSeq, a predicted model, not a curated record
CGGAUUAACGAAUUCAAAGAAAAAAAAAAUCAAAUUGGAACAAAAUGACAACAGAACGAAUCCACGUCUGACAUCGCCUGCGUCCUGCCAUCGUUCAAGAUCGAAUUAAUAUUCUACGAUGGAAUGUUGUAAUGGUGACCUACCUCUCGAAGAGAUAUAUUCUGGUAUACGACAUUCUCUCUCAAUUCGUAUAGUUGAAUCCAUUAGAAUCAAUUGGUUGAACUAGAUGACCCCAACGAGAAUCGAUAUUGGCUAAAA